CACGAACCGUACGACCGUUAUUCGGAAUUACUGGGCUUAAAGGGUUUGUAGGCGGCCUUGUAAGUCAGGUGUGAAAGCCCUCGGCUCAACCGAGGAACAGCGCUUGAUACUGCAAGGCUUGAGGGAGACAGGGGUAAGCGGAACUGAUGGUGGAGCGGUGAAAUGCGUUGAUAUCAUCAGGAACACCGGUGGCGAAAGCGGCUUACUGGGUCUCUUCUGACGCUGAGGAACGAAAGCUAGGGUAGCGAACGGG
RNAcentral lists this ribosomal RNA (253 nucleotides) under uncultured bacterium. RNAcentral's name for it is "partial 16S ribosomal RNA". It matches the Rfam family "Bacterial small subunit ribosomal RNA", at positions 524 to 776 of the family's 1533-position model. The record is from RNAcentral.